UACGUAGGGGGCAAGCGUUGUCCGGAUUUAUUGGGCGUAAAGGGUGCGUAGGCGGGUCUUUAAGUCAGGGGUGAAAUCCUGGAGCUCAACUCCAGAACUGCCUUUGAUACUGAGGAUCUUGAGUUCGGGAGAGGUGAGUGGAACUGCGAGUGUAGAGGUGAAAUUCGUAGAUAUUCGCAAGAACACCAGUGGCGAAGGCGGCUCACUGGCACGAUACUGACGCUGAGGCACGAAAGCGUGGGGAGCAAACAGG
Molecule: ribosomal RNA, 253 nt
Filed under: uncultured bacterium
Lineage: Bacteria
Description: partial 16S ribosomal RNA
Rfam family: Bacterial small subunit ribosomal RNA
Source: RNAcentral